AUACAUGCAAGUCGAACGAACUCUGGUAUUGAUUGGUGCUUGCAUCAUGAUUUACAUUUGAGUGAGUGGCGAACUGGUGAGUAACACGUGGGAAACCUGCCCAGAAGCGGGGGAUAACACCUGGAAACAGAUGCUAAUACCGCAUAACAACUUGGACCGCAUGGUCCGAGCUUGAAAGAUGGCUUCGGCUAUCACUUUUGGAUGGUCCCGCGGCGUAUUAGCUAGAUGGUGGGGUAACGGCUCACCAUGGCAAUGAUACGUAGCCGACCUGAGAGGGUAAUCGGCCACAUUGGGACUGAGACACGGCCCAAACUCCUACGGGAGGCAGCAGUAGGGAAUCUUCCACAAUGGACGAAAGUCUGAUGGAGCAACGCCGCGUGAGUGAAGAAGGGUUUCGGCUCGUAAAACUCUGUUGUUAAAGAAGAACAUAUCUGAGAGUAACUGUUCAGGUAUUGACGGUAUUUAACCAGAAAGCCACGGCUAACUACGUGCCAGCAGCCGCGGUAAUACGUAGGUGGCAAGCGUUGUCCGGAUUUAUUGGGCGUAAAGCGAGCGCAGGCGGUUUUUUAAGUCUGAUGUGAAAGCCUUCGGCUCAACCGAAGAAGUGCAUCGGAAACUGGGAAACUUGAGUGCAGAAGAGGACAGUGGAACUCCAUGUGUAGCGGUGAAAUGCGUAGAUAUAUGGAAGAACACCAGUGGCGAAGGCGGCUGUCUGGUCUGUAACUGACGCUGAGGCUCGAAAGUAUGGGUAGCAAACAGGAUUAGAUA
Molecule: ribosomal RNA, 768 nt
Filed under: Lactiplantibacillus plantarum
Lineage: Bacteria; Bacillati; Bacillota; Bacilli; Lactobacillales; Lactobacillaceae
Description: bacterial SSU rRNA
Rfam family: Bacterial small subunit ribosomal RNA
Source: RNAcentral